RNAcentral lists this ribosomal RNA (534 nucleotides) under Triticum aestivum (bread wheat). Its description in RNAcentral is "partial small subunit ribosomal RNA". Lineage: Eukaryota; Viridiplantae; Streptophyta; Magnoliopsida; Poales; Poaceae. The record is from RNAcentral.
AUGUCUACCACUCCCGAAGAAGUAAAAGAAGAUGAUGUUGAUGAAGAUGAAGAACCUGAGAUUCAUUUGCCUAUUGUCAUACCAGAGCGUGAUGUGUCAGGUUUAUCUAAUCCUCUUAAUGACAUGUCUUCAUAUGAUUUAUUUGCUUCUACCUUGCAUUACAUGAUGCCAUCACUUAAGAUUGAUUUGAAAAAUCAUUUACUUGGAUAUAAUGAUACAUACACUAUUGGUGGCAUUGCUCUCAUUUGUGAUGAUCACAAUUACUUUCCUCAUGCUAGUCUUGAGCUUAAUGAUAAAUGUCAUCCUCGUGUGAGUAUUGACCAUGCUGAUUUCUGCCAUCCUAAACAUGUGCUUUAUAGUUAUGCUUAUAUAAUUGGAUAUUCCAUUGAUGACUUGGAGGGCAUCGACCGUAUCACUUGUAGUUGUUUGUGUGAGUCCUAUUUAAGGCUUUUGCUACUGCACUGUUUACUACAUGCUGACCAGGUUCGAGGUGACAUUCCUUGGGAUCCUGGUGGAGUUAGAGCAUGGCGAUGA